RNAcentral lists this ribosomal RNA (448 nucleotides) under uncultured soil bacterium. RNAcentral's name for it is "bacterial SSU rRNA". It matches the Rfam family "Bacterial small subunit ribosomal RNA", at positions 26 to 522 of the family's 1533-position model. The record is from RNAcentral.
AGAACGAACGCUGGCGGCAUGCCUAAUACAUGCAAGUCGAACGAACACUUCGGUGUUAGUGGCGCACGGGUGCGUAACGCGUGGGAAUCUGCCCUUGGGUUCGGAAUAACAGUUGGAAACGACUGCUAAUACCGGAUGAUGACGAAAGUCCAAAGAUUUAUCGCCCAGGGAUGAGCCCGCGUAGGAUUAGCUAGUUGGUGAGGUAAAGGCUCACCAAGGCGACGAUCCUUAGCUGGUCUGAGAGGAUGAUCAGCCACACUGGGACUGAGACACGGCCCAGACUCCUACGGGAGGCAGCAGUAGGGAAUAUUGGACAAUGGGGCGCAAGCCUGAUCCAGCAAUGCCGCGUGAGUGAUGAAGGCCUUAGGGUUGUAAAGCUCUUUUACCCGAGAUGAUAAUGACAGUAUCGGAGAAUAAGCCCCGGCUAACUCCGUGCCAGCACGCCGAC